RNAcentral lists this ribosomal RNA (771 nucleotides) under uncultured Vagococcus sp. RNAcentral describes it as "bacterial SSU rRNA". It matches the Rfam family "Bacterial small subunit ribosomal RNA", at positions 28 to 776 of the family's 1533-position model. Lineage: Bacteria; Bacillati; Bacillota; Bacilli; Lactobacillales; Enterococcaceae. The record is from RNAcentral.
GACGAACGCUGGCGGCGUGCCUAAUACAUGCAAGUCGAACGCACGAAGUUGAAGAGCUUGCUCUUUAACCAAGUGAGUGGCGGACGGGUGAGUGACACGUGGGUAACCUGCCCAUUAGAGGGGGAUAACAUUCGGAAACGGAUGCUAAUACCGCAUAGUUUCAGGGAUCGCAUGAUUCUUGAAGGAAAGGUGGCUUCGGCUACCACUAAUGGAUGGACCCGCGGCGUAUUAGCUAGUUGGUGAGGUAAUGGCUCACCAAGGCAAUGAUACGUAGCCGACCUGAGAGGGUGAUCGGCCACACUGGGACUGAGACACGGCCCAGACUCCUACGGGAGGCAGCAGUAGGGAAUCUUCCGCAAUGGACGAAAGUCUGACGGAGCAACGCCGCGUGAGUGAAGAAGGUUUUCGGAUCGUAAAACUCUGUUGUUAAAGAAGAACAAGGAUGAGAGUAACUGCUCAUCCCCUGACGGUAUUUAACCAGAAAGCCACGGCUAACUACGUGCCAGCAGCCGCGGUAAUACGUAGGUGGCAAGCGUUGUCCGGAUUUAUUGGGCGUAAAGCGAGCGCAGGCGGUUCUUUAAGUCUGAUGUGAAAGCCCCCGGCUCAACCGGGGAGGGUCAUUGGAAACUGGAGAACUUGAGUGCGGAAGAGGAGAGUGGAAUUCCACGUGUAGCGGUGAAAUGCGUAGAUAUGUGGAGGAACACCAGUGGCGAAGGCGACUCUCUGGUCUGUAACUGACGCUGAGGCUCGAAAGCGUGGGGAGCAAACAGG